UACGUAGGGGGCAAGCGUUGUCCGGAUUUAUUGGGCGUAAAGGGCGCGUAGGCGGCCACUGCAAGUCGGUUGUGAAAUCUCCGGGCUUAACCCGGAAAGGUCAACCGAUACUGCAGGGCUAGAGUGCAGAAGGGGCAACUGGAAUUCUCGGUGUAGCGGUGAAAUGCGUAGAUAUCGAGAGGAACACCUGCGGCGAAGGCGGGUUGCUGGGCUGACACUGACGCUGAUGCGCGAAAGCUAGGGGAGCGAACGGG
This 254-nucleotide ribosomal RNA is filed under the name uncultured bacterium. Its description in RNAcentral is "partial 16S ribosomal RNA". It matches the Rfam family "Bacterial small subunit ribosomal RNA", at positions 524 to 776 of the family's 1533-position model. The record is from RNAcentral.